UACGGAGGGUGCGAGCGUUGUCCGGAUUCACUGGGUGUAAAGGGUCCGCAGGCGGGUUGGUUAGUCGUUGGUGAAAGUCCAGAGCUUAACCCUGGAACUGCAGACGAUACUGCCGAUCUUGAGUACGGAAGAGGAAGAUGGAAUUCCUGGUGUAGCGGUGAAAUGCGUAGAUAUCAGGAAGAACACCGGUGGCGAAGGCGGUCUUCUGGUCCGUUACUGACGAUCAGGGACGAAAGCGUGGGGAGCAAACAGG
Molecule: ribosomal RNA, 253 nt
Filed under: uncultured bacterium
Lineage: Bacteria
Description: partial 16S ribosomal RNA
Rfam family: Bacterial small subunit ribosomal RNA
Source: RNAcentral